CAGUCGCCACGGUAAUACGGAGGGUGCAAGCGUUAAUCGGAAUUACUGGGCGUAAAGCGUGCGUAGGCGGUUUGUUAAGUCUGCUGUGAAAUCCCCGGGCUCAACCUGGGAAUGGCAGUGGAUACUGGCAAGCUAGAGUGUGUCAGAGGAUGGUGGAAUUCCCGGUGUAGCGGUGAAAUGCGUAGAGAUCGGGAGGAACAUCAGUGGCGAAGGCGGCCAUCUGGGACAACACUGACGCUGAGGCACGAAAGCGUGGGGAGCAAACAGGAUUAGAUACCCCCGUAGUCCCUGUCUCUUAUAC
Molecule: ribosomal RNA, 301 nt
Filed under: uncultured bacterium
Lineage: Bacteria
Description: partial 16S ribosomal RNA
Rfam family: Bacterial small subunit ribosomal RNA
Source: RNAcentral